GACGAACGCUGGCGGCGUGCUUAACACAUGCAAGUCGAACGGAAAGGCCCUGCUUUUGUGGGGUGCUCGAGUGGCGAACGGGUGAGUAACACGUGCGUAACCUGCCCUUGACUUUGGGAUAACUUCAGGAAACUGGGGCUAAUACCGGAUAGGAGCUCCUGCUGCAUGGUGGGGGUUGGAACGUUUCGGCGGUUGGGGAUGGACUCGCGGCUUAUCAGCUUGUUGGUGGGGUAGUGGCUUACCAAGGCUUUGACGGGUAGCCGGCCUGAGAGGGUGACCGGCCACAUUGGGACUGAGAUACGGCCCAGACUCCUACGGGAGGCAGCAGUGGGGAAUAUUGCACAAUGGGCGGAAGCCUGAUGCAGCAACGCCGCGUGCGGGAUGACGGCCUUCGGGUUGUAAACCGCUUUCGCCUGUGACGAAGCGUGAGUGACGGUAAUGGGUAAAGAAGCACCGGCUAACUACGUG
This 468-nucleotide ribosomal RNA is filed under the name uncultured bacterium. RNAcentral describes it as "partial 16S ribosomal RNA". It matches the Rfam family "Bacterial small subunit ribosomal RNA", at positions 28 to 507 of the family's 1533-position model. The record is from RNAcentral.